This 479-nucleotide ribosomal RNA is filed under the name bacterium BCM48. Its description in RNAcentral is "bacterial SSU rRNA". It matches the Rfam family "Bacterial small subunit ribosomal RNA", at positions 57 to 514 of the family's 1533-position model. The record is from RNAcentral.
GCAAGUCGAGCGGCAGCGACAUGAUCAAAAGCUUCGGGUGCGCUUAUGGGCGGCGAGCGGCGGACGGGUGAGUAAUGCCUGGGAAUAUGCCCUGAUGUGGGGGAUAACCAUUGGAAACGAUGGCUAAUACCGCAUAAUCUCUUCGGAGCAAAGAGGGGGACCUUCGGGCCUCUCGCGUCAGGAUUAGCCCAGGUGGGAUUAGCUAGUUGGUGAGGUAAAGGCUCACCAAGGCGACGAUCCCUAGCUGGUCUGAGAGGAUGAUCAGCCACACUGGAACUGAGACACGGUCCAGACUCCUACGGGAGGCAGCAGUGGGGAAUAUUGCACAAUGGGGGAAACCCUGAUGCAGCCAUGCCGCGUGUAUGAAGAAGGCCUUCGGGUUGUAAAGUACUUUCAGCAGUGAGGAAGGUGGUGUCGUUAAUAGCGGCAUCGCUUGACGUUAGCUGCAGAAGAAGCACCGGCUAACUCCGUGCCAGCCG